RNAcentral lists this ribosomal RNA (579 nucleotides) under Salmonella enterica. Its description in RNAcentral is "bacterial SSU rRNA". It matches the Rfam family "Bacterial small subunit ribosomal RNA", at positions 202 to 765 of the family's 1533-position model. The record is from RNAcentral. Lineage: Bacteria; Pseudomonadati; Pseudomonadota; Gammaproteobacteria; Enterobacterales; Enterobacteriaceae.
AGAGGGGGACCUUCGGGCCUCUUGCCAUCAGAUGUGCCCAGAUGGGAUUAGCUUGUUGGUGAGGUAACGGCUCACCAAGGCGACGAUCCCUAGCUGGUCUGAGAGGAUGACCAGCCACACUGGAACUGAGACACGGUCCAGACUCCUACGGGAGGCAGCAGUGGGGAAUAUUGCACAAUGGGCGCAAGCCUGAUGCAGCCAUGCCGCGUGUAUGAAGAAGGCCUUCGGGUUGUAAAGUACUUUCAGCGGGGAGGAAGGUGUUGUGGUUAAUAACCGCAGCAAUUGACGUUACCCGCAGAAGAAGCACCGGCUAACUCCGUGCCAGCAGCCGCGGUAAUACGGAGGGUGCAAGCGUUAAUCGGAAUUACUGGGCGUAAAGCGCACGCAGGCGGUCUGUCAAGUCGGAUGUGAAAUCCCCGGGCUCAACCUGGGAACUGCAUUCGAAACUGGCAGGCUUGAGUCUUGUAGAGGGGGGUAGAAUUCCAGGUGUAGCGGUGAAAUGCGUAGAGAUCUGGAGGAAUACCGGUGGCGAAGGCGGCCCCCUGGACAAAGACUGACGCUCAGGUGCGAAAGCGUGGG